Molecule: unclassified non-coding RNA, 331 nt
Filed under: soil metagenome
Description: partial contains 5.8S ribosomal RNA, internal transcribed spacer 2, and large subunit ribosomal RNA
Rfam family: 5.8S ribosomal RNA (bases 1-120)
Source: RNAcentral
GAUGAAGAACGUAGCGAAAUGCGAUAAGUAAUGUGAAUUGCAGAAUUCAGUGAAUCAUCGAAUCUUUGAACGCACAUUGCGCCCCUUGGUAUUCCGGGGGGCAUGCCCGUUCGAGCGUCAUUACACCACUCAAGCCUGGCUUGGUAUUGGGCGACGGGGUCUUCACCCGCGCCUCUAUUUCGUUCGGCUGGACGGUUGGAAUCUCAGCGUUGUGAAUCAAUUCGCUCACGAUGAAGACCGUUCGCGCCGUUAAAAUACUUCUUUUUUUUAAGGUUGACCUCGGAUCGGGUAGGGAUACCCGCUGAACUUAAGCAUAUCAAUAAGCGGAGGA